Molecule: long non-coding RNA, 8232 nt
Filed under: Homo sapiens (human)
Lineage: Eukaryota; Metazoa; Chordata; Mammalia; Primates; Hominidae
Description: HSALNT0297340
Rfam family: mir-181 microRNA precursor family (bases 408-490)
Source: RNAcentral
GAACUGCAGAUAGUACAGCUUCCACAGGAGCAAGGGAUGUCUGAGCACAAGUGGCUGAGUUCCGAGUGACUUUAUGAAGCACUUUCUACCUUCCUCUCCGGCAUGAAAACAGGGAUUCUGCACCUGCAUCAUGGACAGUCUGGCAAAAGCCUCUGCUCUGCCUCCGGGGACAAGAAACUAGAGCAAAUAACCGUUUUGAAAUUAGAUCCUGGCAAAAUUACCAACAAUCAAUGAUGGAAACUGAAGGGAGAUUGAUUUAAAUCUUCAAUGACAGUUGUACAGAAGUUGAAGAAACACGUCAUCUUUCCAAAGAAGAGUGAGUAGCUUGGUUGGUGGUACCCUAAAAUUAGGGCAUGAUUAAGAUACUUACAGAUACUGUAAAGUGAGUAGAAUUCUGAGUUUUGAGGUUGCUUCAGUGAACAUUCAACGCUGUCGGUGAGUUUGGAAUUAAAAUCAAAACCAUCGACCGUUGAUUGUACCCUAUGGCUAACCAUCAUCUACUCCAUGGUGCUCAGAAUUCGCUGAAGACAGGAAACCAAAGGUGGACACACCAGGACUUUCUCUUCCCUGUGCAGAGAUUAUUUUUUAAAAGGUCACAAUCAACAUUCAUUGCUGUCGGUGGGUUGAACUGUGUGGACAAGCUCACUGAACAAUGAAUGCAACUGUGGCCCCGCUUUUUGCUGUCACAAUCAACAGAUAUUCCAUCUUUGAAAGAUGUGUUCAAAAUAGUACUAUUGUUCUUUAAGUUUUCCAAUUCGUCAGCAUCUUCUGGUUUAUUUAUUCAAUUUAUAUCAUGUGAUGAGAUUUCAAUGAAAAAGACUCUGGUUUAAACAAGAAUAAUGCUUCUCUAUCUUUUGUAUGCUAUAAACAGAGCAUGUUUUAGAAAAGGCAAAACUAUUUUGUCCAUCAAACGUACAGUAUCAUCAUCUAGGUUAGCUCACCUUCCUACUGUUGUAGUGUGAGUGAAAAAAAGACAUAAAGUAGGACCUCAGCACCCAUGCCAUUGACAAUAACACACUUACAAAUAUGUGUUCUUUACAACUUUUGUUAGAUGUUCUGGUCAAAGUGGGAUAGAAACACCAGAUAAUUUUAGCUUUCUGCUUCUCUGGGUGAGGAUUUGCUCAUAUAAUUCUGCCUCUUGCUAUGUAACAUGCUAAAUACGAAGAAAAUAAUAUAUACAUAACUAUAUAACUAUCAGAACACUCAUGACAGUCAUAUAGUAGAUUGAUUUUCCCAAUUCAAUUUCCACUUUAAAACUUUACCCACUUUCUAUGUGCAUGAACUGCGUGGUUAGACUUACAGUCAUGGCCCAUUAAUUGCCUCAUGUUUACUCAUCUGACUUUGCAAGUAAAAGCCUAUGCAUAUCAUGGUUUUUCUUAAGUGGUUUGCCUCUGCAUUUUUAUAUAGGACAUCUGUCAUUAAAUUUGAUCACAGCAGUUUUAAGUUUACCAUUUGUAAUGAUAAUAAUUAUAUAGCAAAAUAAAAUGCUUUCUCAAGUGUCUAUGUUUGGAGUACCUGGAUGGCUUCAAUGUUCAUUUUUUUUUAAUGGUCAAAUAAAUUAUCCUUUCUUUUCCUUGAUCUUUUAAAUCCCAUUUGCCUUUAACUCCCAUUACAGAAACCCAUUGCUGGGACCCGGCUCUUGACCUCAUCAUAACCUUAAAAUAUUUUACCACAUUCGAUAUCUAAUAUCCCACUCUGUCUAUCACUUCUUACCAUUCUAGUUUCUCAUUCUCUUAUCUCCAAGGCAACUGUCCUUUCAAUAUCAGUGUUGCUGAAAAAUAAAAUCACAUCAUCAUAUGGACACAUUAAUACACAUACUCAGGGGCCUCCAAGUGCCUCAGUCCCUCAACUCUGACCCAGCAUUUCUUCUACUCCACUCCCUCAUGUUUAGCCUAAAUGUUUACCUCUUUCCUCAACUGCUCCUUUCCACGAUUCCACUCUCAACAGAUGAACUGACUUCUGUUUUUCAUUGAGAAGCUUGAGUCCAUGUGAUUAUUCCCUCCACUUCCUUGUUUAUAGCCUAUGAAUGCGUAGGAUUCUGCCCUGAGUUGUCUCACGUGAGCCUCCUGCCUUGCUUGGGACAUCUCUUCCCCUGUGAUAUCCCCCUCCUCUCUCACCAUCUGGCUCCAUUUCACAUGUAACAAGGUUCAGUUUUCUCUCUUCUCAAAUAGAAAACAAAAGAAAUUUGAGAAAAACUUCUCUAUACUUGCUUUAUCCUCAAGUUACUUACCCCACUUCUUUUCUUCUUUUUAAAAGCUAAGAUUUUAGAAAUAGUACAUAGUAGCCUGCAGCACUGUCUAUAUUUGUUUACUUCCCAUUUCACCUCAACUAUAUGUAAUUUGGCAUCUUCUACCAUUUCUCUCUCCCACUUGUGCAUAACAUCAUUCUAAUGACACUGCUUUUCCCCAAAUCACCAGUGAGCUCCAUAUUGCCAAAUACAAAUCAAACUUUUCUGCCAGUUGUCCUACUCGAACUCCCCUUGAUGCCUGACACAGCUGACCACUUCUUCCUAAACUCCAGUCCCCAUUCACUUUUGUGAUCCUACUCUCAUUUGGAUUUCUCUCUUUAUUACAGUGAUGUCCUAUUUAUUUAUUUAUUUUUAAGAAGCUCUUCAUCUGCUUGAACUCCCAAUGCCAGUAUCCUUCUGAGACCCAUUCUUAACUUUAUGGCUUUUUUUCUCUUCUCUUGUCUCACAAUCUUUGAAGGAAUCUCAGGCACGUGAAUGAUGUUUACAUCUGCUCAGAUGCUGCAGAUACCCAAGUCUUUAUCUCCAGCUUACACAUCCCAAAGCUACAUAUCUGUCUUCUGCUCUUCUCACAGACCAAAGCCCAUCCAUGACUACAGAUAACGUAUCAUCUUUUUCCCAAGGGAUAACACUCUUGAUCUACUUGGAAACCAAAGCCAUAAAUCUCAAUUCAUUUCAUGUUCCUGGACCUUGCUUCCUCUCCUUUUCUAAACAUACAAUCGCACAGUCCUGAAGAUGUUCACUUUUUAUCUUGCUAAUAUUUCAAUUAUUCUGUAUACUUCUACUGAACUUUAGUCCAGAAACGCACACCUCUUACUUGGACUAUUCCAAUGGUCUCCUAACUCCCACCAUCAGCCAUCCAUCUGUUCAAUAUUUUCUUCACAGUAUUUUAAAAAGUGAUUUUAAAAAUGUAAUCAUAUUGUGAAACCGUUUAAUCCACUUGGAAUAAAAUGUUUAAUAGAUGGAUCGUUCUGGCGGGAAAAGCAUUGUGAAUAUUAGCUAAAUGAGAAAAAGAUAAUAUCUGGAACUUCGUACAAGUUCUCAAGCUUAAUUUCAGUAUAUUAAUGAAUUAAAUGUAAUUUCUGAAAAUUUUCUAAAAUAAACGUAGUUGAAAAUUUAAUAUCCUUGAAAUGAUGAAGAACAUUUUCAAUUUUAACACAAACGAGGCAAAAAGAAAAGACAAGCAUGACUUUGACUACAUUGAACUUCAAACUAUAACGUGUCAAAAAUAACCAUAUAAUGAAAAGGCAGAUAGCCAAAUGAAAAUGAAUAUGAACAAUAAGAAAGAAAAAAGAUUAAUACACUUAAUAUAUGACAUUUUUAAUAUACAAAAAGGAGUAAGAAAAAAUUAACAACUAAAGAGACAAAUGAACAGUGGACAUGAACAGAGCGGUCACAGAUGUAAAGCAAAUGAGUGAGACCUACAUGAUGUAAAAUUCUGCUUCACUUAUGAAAAUUCAAAUUAAAACCAUGAGAUGUAAUAUUUCUUUAGUAAAGCUAACUGAUGAAGAAAAUUUAGUGAUGGUGACAUGAAUGUUCUCAUGCUAUACUGGAUUGUCUUUGGUUUCUGCUGAAACUUCUGGGCUUGAUUUUUCCAUUUCCAUUACUUUAUUUUUUGAACAUGGAAACACACCCUUCCAGCUAUGGCAAAUUAGAUCAGAAGUACACACCUGUGCCAAAGGGACUCAAUCCAUCCAUUUGACUGAAACUUUUAUAUUUUCAUUCUUAUGAAUUUGAAUUAAGAUAAACAUAAAUCCUUCAGGAGUAGAAGGUGUGUACAAAAUGUAUAAUUUCAUGAAGCUUUGGAAUAGAUUAACAUUUUUCUUUGUUUAUAUAUAAAAAAAGUAAAUAAAAGAUGGAAGUUGGUUAGUGAAAAGCAGCUACAAGAAAUAGACAUGAGAUUUUUGCAGUUCCCUGAGAGACGGAUGAAAAAUCUUUAGUCCAAAAAGCUCCAGGUCCAGAAACCAUUUUCCCAGCCAUCUUUGCUCUGCUUUUUUUUUUUUUUUUUUUUUGAUGGCUGUUUUCAGUGUCUAUAAUAAUUUUAAUGGCUUAAAAUAAGUCCUAUUUUAUUUAGCUAAGGAUGGUUUCUGUUCAUUGCCUUCAGAACUAUACAAUGCUCAUGAGAGUAUGAUCUGAUUUAAAUGUUAUGGAAAUAAUUUUAUCAAUAAUUUAACAAUGCUUGUAAACUUUUAUCCAAUAAUUGUGUUUUUAGAAUUCUCAUUUACCUAUGUAUUUAUUUUUAAUAGACUAAUACUAAUUAUAUAUGUUUAUGGGAUACAAUGUGAUUUUUUUGUUUUAGUUUUUGUUUUAUGUUUUUUGUUUUUUGUUUUGAGACUGAGUUUCGCUCUUGUCUCCCAGGCUGGAGUGCAACGGUGCAAUCUCAGCCCACUGCAACUUCCACCUCCCAGAUUCAAGUGAUUCUUCUGCCUCAGCCUCCCAAGUAGCUGAGAUUACAGGCACGUGCCACCACACCUGGCUAAUUUUUUGUAUUUUUAGUAGAGACAAGGUUUCGCCGCGUUGGCCAGGUUGGUCUUGAACUCCACAAUGUGAUAUUUUGAUCUACAAACAUAUUGUAGAAAAAUUACAUCAAAGUAAUUAACAUAUCUAACACCUCAAGAAUUUAUCAUUUUUUGAUGGUGAGAAUGUUAACAAUCUGUUCUUUUUGGCAAUUUUGAAAUAUACAACACAUUAUUAUUAACUGUGGUCUCCAUGCGAUACGAUAGGAUCACUAAAACUUAUUCCUGUAGUCUAAGUAAAGCUUUGUAAACUUUAAUAAACAUCUCUCCUAUCACUAUUCCUCUCCCAUUCUCCCAACCUCCAGUAACCACAUUUUUAUUCUGUUUCUAUGAAAUUAAAUUGUUUAGAUUCCACAUGUGUAUAAGAUCAUAAGUAUUUAUCUUUCUGUGCCUCCCUUAUUUCAGUUAGCAUAAUGUCCCCCAGUUUCACAUAGGUUGUCAGGAAUAGCAGAAUUUCCUUCCUUUUUAAGGAUGAAUAAUUUUCCAUUGUUUAUAUAUUCCACAUUUAUUUUAAUCCAUUCGUCUAUUGAACACUUAAGUUGCUGCCAUAUCUUAGUUAUUGGGAAUAAAGUUGGAGUGAACAUGAGAUUGUCGAUGUCUGUUUGAUGUACCAAUUUUCAAUUCCUUCAGAUAUAUACCCAAAACUGAGAUUGCUGGAUCAUACGGUAAUUCUCUUUUUAGUAUUUUGAGGAACCUCUCUACUAUUUUCCAAAAUGGCUAUACUAAUUAUUUACAUUCCCCUCAACAGUAUACAAGGGCUCUCUUUUUCUCCACAUCCUCACCAACACUUCUCAUUUGUUUUUUUGACAAUGGUCAUUCUAACAGGUGUGACGUGAUACCUUAAUGUAGUUUAAACUUGCAUUUACCUUAUGAUAAGAGGUGUUGAGGCCGGGUGCAAUGGCUCACACCUGUAAUCCCAGCACUUUGGGAGGCCAAGGCGGGCAGAUCAUGAAGUCAAGAGAUCGUGACCAUCCUGGCCAACAUGGUGAAACCCUGUCUUUACUAAAAAUACAAAAAUUAGAUGGGCAUGGUGGCACAUGCCUGUAGUCCCAGUUACUCAGGAGGCUGAGGCAGGAGAAUCACUUGAACCCAGGAGGCAGAGGUUGCAGUGAGCUGAGAUCACACUACUGCACUCCAGUCUGAUGAUAGAGUGAGACUCUGUAAAAAAAAAAAAAAAAAAAAAAAAAAAAAGGUGUGAAUGUUGGCCAUGUGUGUAUCUUCUUUUGGUAAAUGUUUGUUCAGAUCCUUUACCCAUUUUUAAUUAGGUUUUUUUCUUUUCUUGCUAUUGAAUUGUUUAAAUUGGAAUGCCUUACAUGUUAUGGAUCUUAACCUGUUACCAGAUAUAUAGUUUGGAAAUACUCUCUUCCAGUCCAUGGAUGAGAAUAUAUAUAUAUAUAUAUAUAUACACACACACACAUUAUUAUAUAUCUAUAUAUCACUUAUGUGUCUCUUCACUCUCAUAAUUGUUUUCUUUGCUCUGCAGAAACAACUUAGUUUAAUGCCAUCCCACUUGUCUAUUUUUGUUUUUGUUGUUUUUGCUUUUGGGGUAAUAGCCAAGAAGUCGUUGCUCAGACCAAUGUUAUGGAGAUUUUUCUCUCUGUUUUCUUCUAAAAGUUCUAGUUUCAGGUCUUAUAUUUCAAGUCCUUUAUCCAUUUUGGGUUGAUGUGAGUGUGUGGUAUAAGAUAAGGGUCCAAUUUUAUUCUUCUGCAAGUGGCUAUCCAGUUUUCCCAACACCAUUUGUUGAAGUAGUUGUCUUUCCCCCAUUGUGUGUUCUUGGCACCUUUGUCAACAAUCAGUUGACCAUAAGUAGUUGGGUUUAUUACUGGGCUUUCUUGUUUCUUUGGUUGAUGUGUCUGUUUUAGGCCAGUACGAUGCUGUUUUUGAUUGCAAUAGUUUUAUGAAAUCUUUUGAAAUUAGGAAGUGUGAUGUUUUAAAAUGUAUUUAUGUAUGUAUGUAUGAAGAGAUUCAAAGCAGCAUUAUUUUAAAACUUUUAAUAAUAGCAAGCUAAAUGUUCAAAAACGAGGAGCGGGAAAAUGAAUUAUGACAUGUAUGAUGGAAAAUAAUAAUAACUGUAUUUUAAUUAAAAAUCAUGCUUAUAUUUAAGUAUAAAUUUUUCAGAACUCAGAUAGAGAGUUAAAUUCCAACUUACUAGAAGAGUAAUCAUGGAGAAAUUAAUUUUCCUAAGCUUAAAUUUGUUCAACUAUAUAAUUUGUAUAAUAUUCCCUACCUGAACAUUGUUGCUUUCAGGAUAAAUGAAAUAAUCCAUACAAUGACUUUAGCAUAGUGCCUGAUGUUUAGUAAAUAUUUAGUAGUAGUAGUAGACUCUAUUCCUGUGCAUGAUCAUACCGCUAUACAUAACAAGUUAUGUUUUUUUCUUUAACUCUUAGUGCUGGAAUUUUGACCAUUUUCUAUCAUAUUCAUUAUAUCUUCUACAUUUCUGAGAUAAAAACGUGUUACUUAUACUCUUUUUAAUAAUAGUAAGCUACUAAAUGAUUUUAUUUUAAAAAUAUCUUUAUCAUUAAAUUCCAAAUGUAUUUGUUUAUUGAACUAAAAGCCCUCCAAAGUGCUAGAACUCUAAUACCUACUAGUCACAGGGCAUUGAUGACAGCAUUUAAAAUUAUUAAAUGUUAUAAAGCACGCAUUUAUUUAAACAUAAACAACACACACACAGAGAAUGAUACAAUGCUUUAUAAAAGCGCUUUAUUUAACUUUAUUCUCAUUCUAAAUCUGAAGAUAAACUCAGGUCCAAAAUUUUAAGGUAAAUAAGCAUAAGUAACAAUGAGUUAGUUUGAAAGAUUAAGUCAAUUAUGUACUCUUAUCUUUUAUAUUUCCUCUGAAGGAAUUUGAGUGCUUGACAGUUAAAUGAUAUAAAGUUCAUUGAUGAAAAUUCCAUUUAAUAGUAUACUUUUCAUGUACAUGGACUGGAAUUCAUAACAUAAAAUAUUAAAAUGUUUAAUUGACUACUCAUUUGGCUUUGAAUGUUGCUUUUGAUUUUUCAUAACAUAACAUAAUCAUUAAUAAUAUAAUGAUUAUUAUUUCUGUAACUUGAUCAGUUACAAACUUUACCAGUUUUUUAAUGAAAAAUAAUAAGAAUCAAGUCAUAACUCACAUGCUAGGAUGUGCUUUUAAGUAAUAAUGGGCAGUCAUUGCCCAAUGGUAGCAUCAAGAUAUCUUAAGAAAGGUGUAUAAAAAAUUAAAAUGUAUUUCAAAUAUUUAAAGGAAUUAUUAUAAGUGGGUAUCUUUUAUCAAUAAUCUUUCUUUUCCAGAUAGUUUGAAAAGAAGAGAGAGUCUAAUUUUCAUUUGUGAUUUCCUUUCAUGACCAGUCAUUACAAAACUUUAGUUUAGUUAAAAAUUUCUCUUGAUUUUUGUCUAGAUUUUGCCUUUUUGAGAAAAUUUUAUUUUCAAGUUUUCUCCCUUUUUUUGUUUUGUUUUAAGCUGACAACAUACGCCUCUUUACUGUUUUAAAAGACU